CGUCUGCUUCCUUUCCUCGGUCCGACCCGUCAGCAGACCGCUCAGCAUCAAACUCUGGGACUUUACUGGGAAACAGUCGAUCCCUGUUUUGUGCCGGUUCAGUCAGAGGGACUGCAGUUAUCAAUACGUGAUCCUUGUGGGCCGGCCUAGUCAAAGUCCAAGGCUGUUUUUUGGGGCCAGUCCUUCCUGGUUCGACCUGUUGGUCGACGACUCGGCAUCAAACUCCAAACAUCUCUGGCGGUUUUCUGGAAUCGGUAAGUUGUACAGUUAUUUACAGUUCUUUGCUUCUCCUUGUU
Long non-coding RNA from Poeciliopsis prolifica (blackstripe livebearer), 296 nucleotides. RefSeq lists it as uncharacterized. NCBI's taxonomy places the organism in Eukaryota, Metazoa, Chordata, Actinopteri, Cyprinodontiformes, Poeciliidae. The record is from RefSeq and is a predicted model, not a curated record. The transcript has 3 exons.